This 253-nucleotide ribosomal RNA is filed under the name uncultured bacterium. Its description in RNAcentral is "partial 16S ribosomal RNA". It matches the Rfam family "Bacterial small subunit ribosomal RNA", at positions 524 to 776 of the family's 1533-position model. The record is from RNAcentral.
UACAGAGGUCCCAAGCGUUGUUCGGAUUCGUUGGGCGUAAAGGGUGCGUAGGUGGCGCCGUAAGUCAGGUGUGAAAUCUCGGGGCUUAACUCCGAAACUGCAUUUGAUACUGCGGUGCUUGAGGACUGGAGAGGAGACUGGAAUUUACGGUGUAGCAGUGAAAUGCGUAGAGAUCGUAAGGAAGACCAGUGGCGAAGGCGGGUCUCUGGACAGUUCCUGACACUGAGGCACGAAGGCCAGGGGAGCAAACGGG